Molecule: RNA transcript, 2011 nt
Organism: Quercus lobata
Lineage: Eukaryota; Viridiplantae; Streptophyta; Magnoliopsida; Fagales; Fagaceae
Exons: 4
Source: RefSeq, a predicted model, not a curated record
GAUUCCCAAUUCUUCAGUUUGAUUCUUGACUCAUGUCACUCAUCAAUUACACGUGGGAAAAAACACACAAUCAUGAGAUCGUCGGAGUUCAUGGACAAGCAAAUCACCGAAUUGUCUCGAUCUCAGUCCCAAGAUUUCUCCUUAUUUUCAAACCCUCACCACCACAACGACGACGACGACGAGGAGCUCUCUCCGACCUUCCGUUUCCACCUUAUACGACCUGUCGUUUCGACUCAUCAGUCACACGCCGAUGAUUCCGAGUCGUUGAUCUCCGCGAUCGAUAGGAAGAUGAAGGAGCUGGGUGAGAAUCUAUUUGCUCGCCGUGGAAGGAAUCACCGCGCGCCUCACUCAGCUCGAGAAUCGAACGCACCGCAUCGAGAAUUCCGUCGACGAUUUGAAGGACUCAAUUGAGUCUCACCAUGGCAGCUCUGAUGGCAAGCUCAGAGAGCUCCAUAAUAUUCUUACACAGGUCCACGGGUUUCUCCAAAAAACAAACAAACACAAACACAAACAAGCAAUACGCUCUCUGCUCUCUGCUUUUCAUAGUCGUCCGUUUGUUUGCGUUGCGUCGCUCCGUUUCUAUCUGAUCCUCUCUUCGCAAAGCAAAUUGCAAAGUUGGUCAUGUCGAAUUCCAAAUUUUCAACAACGAAAUCAUCGCCCUCUUUGUUUUCGUCGUCUCCACCUUCUUCAUCUACAUUCUCACUACCAUCGAGUGAUGAAGAUUCUCUUCCAUACCAGAAAUUUGCUUGUAUUCUCGUACGAGGUUCUCGUAUGGCUUUGGAGUGGUAUGUCUUUAACAUCUCCGACGAUGUUGAGCACAAUCAGGCUCCUCCUCCUCCUGGUCCUAGUCCGUUUCUACAAGCAAUAUUUCAUCCUUUUAGUGUAAACUCUCACCAGCAGCAGCAUAUCAAACCUGCAGUUAUUGUACCUUCAGGAAGGAAGUGUUCCGUUUUAGGAUCCAACAAUACUUUAUACCAUAUACCUGGCCACCAUCUUUGUGCUUCUGGACGCGACGAUUUAGUGUCUCGCUUUGACCUUACCAAUACCAAAAAAUCUAGGCAAGAGUUUCUUCCUCCAAUGCCUAAUGGUGUGUCGUCAGCACAUGCCCUCUUUCUUGGCAAUAAGCUUUAUUGCCUAGGUGGUUAUGAAGAAAACAAACCUUGGGCCAUGGCUUACGACUUGAGUCUUGAUAGAUGGGACUCUCUAGUGGAUCCUCCUCGCCGUCCCGAAAAUACUUAUAAUAUUUUUUCAGUAGCUAUAGAGGUCCCAACCCCAACUAUCGUGGUGGGUUCAACUUUGCAGUCUUGUCCUCUCCAAAUCUAUGAUGUGCAUACCAAGUGUUGGAGACUACAUGAGUUUAUAAACAAGGAUGGCUUUUAUCUUUUCCCUCGGGGACAACCUGUAGCUGUUGAUAGCAAGUUUUAUUGGUAUGAAUUCAACUAUCAAUGCCUAGCUGCAUUUGAUGUGGUCACAAACGAGUGAUCAUUGGCCUACGUCCCUAUACAUGACAGUGAUCAAUGUCUAUUGGAUGGAGAGAUUGAUUCUCCUCCGCGCUUGGCUCAUCUAGCCGGUGAUGAUUUCUGCUUGUUUUGGGGAUCCCCCUGCCAGCAUUACAAUCCUGUUGCCCCUCUUGAAAGCGUCACAUCUCGCCUUCACUGCCUGAAGUUUCGUAUUUCCAAACUUCACCCAAAGCAAGGAUCAACUUUUCGCUUGGAUGCCUCUAUCCUGUCAUGCCAAUCCUACGUUGUGCCUGGGGUAAAGCUCUUUUUUGAUGGCUUCGUGGGUUAAGGAUGGUCAUUUGGAUUUGGGAUACAACUGCUUGGAAGUUUGACAACAUGAGUGGUAUUUUUGUGUUUACCUUUUUUUCAUUUUCCCCUUUUGAUUCUAUGGAACAAGAUAUUAGUGCUGUAAUCCUUUUUUUUUUUUUUGGUUAAUUAGUGAAGUAAUCCUUUUGUAACCUCCUUUUAUUCUUUUGAUAGAAUAUAGUUGCAUUGAGUAUUGUGGGUAUGCA